Molecule: long non-coding RNA, 430 nt
Organism: Sus scrofa (pig)
Lineage: Eukaryota; Metazoa; Chordata; Mammalia; Artiodactyla; Suidae
Source: RefSeq, a predicted model, not a curated record
CAUUGGGUGAGGAAUGAGGCCUACAUUCAGAUUCAGACCAGGGGCAAGAGUGUGAAGACUGCCUCUCAGCUGAUUUGAAUACACAACUCACUGGAUACUAAGGAGGCGCUACCACUCCCAGAAAGGAAGAAGCAGGACUUUCCAGCCCCCACGCCUCUUGAAGGAUUUAAACCGUGGCCACCGGAGCCUCGGGCAGAGUUUCCUUGCCUGCCUCGCUUGCAUCUCUUACAAGCCUGAACCUUAGUGAGUGCAGACACAGGAUGUGUCUGGACAGUGACAGAUGGGAAGAAUCUUCUUCAGUGACCAGAAUCCGAUGGCUGGGGAGGCUGCAGUGAACUGCCUUAUUUCCUCGGACUCUCUGAUUAGCAGGUGGAAGGAGGCUCCUCAAAAUAUUUGAUGGUUGCUUGAAUACAAACAUUUUACGUGCCAA